AACGAACGCUGGCGGCAGGCUUAACACAUGCAAGUCGAGCGAGACCUUCGGGUCUAGCGGCGGACGGGUGAGUAACGCGUGGGAACGUUCCCUUCUCUACGGAAUAGCCCCGGGAAACGGGGAGUAAUACCGUAUACGCCCUUUGGGGGAAAGAUUUAUCGGAGAAGGAUCGGCCCGCGUUGGAUUAGGUAGUUGGUGGGGUAAUGGCCCACCAAGCCGACGAUCCCUAGCUGGUUUGAGAGGAUGAUCAGCCACACUGGGACUGAGACACGGCCCAGACUCCUACGGGAGGCAGCAGUGGGGAAUCUUAGACAAUGGGGGCAACCCUGAUCUAGCCCUGCCGCGUGAGUGAUGAAGGCCUUAGGGUUGUAAAGCUCUUUCAGCUGGGAAGAUAAUGACGGUACCAGCAGAAGAAGCCCCGGCUAACUCCGUG
Molecule: ribosomal RNA, 433 nt
Filed under: uncultured bacterium
Lineage: Bacteria
Description: partial 16S ribosomal RNA
Rfam family: Bacterial small subunit ribosomal RNA
Source: RNAcentral